GAGCACGUAGGUGGGUUUGUAAGUCAGAUGUGAAAGCCUUCUGUUCAACGGGAGAAUUGCAUCUGAAACUACAGACCUUGAGUAUAGGAGGGGAGAAUGGAACUUCUGGUGGAGCGGUGAAAUGCGUAGAUAUCAGAAGGAACGCCGGCGGCGAAAGCGAUUCUCUGGCCUAUUACUGACACUCAGUGUGCGAAAGCUAGGGGAGCAAACGGGAUUAGAUACCCCGGUAGUCCUAGCCGUAAACGAUGGGCACUAAGUAGAGGGG
RNAcentral lists this ribosomal RNA (265 nucleotides) under uncultured anaerobic ammonium-oxidizing bacterium. RNAcentral's name for it is "partial 16S ribosomal RNA". It matches the Rfam family "Bacterial small subunit ribosomal RNA", at positions 565 to 828 of the family's 1533-position model. The record is from RNAcentral.